GGUGAUAAAAUUUCAUUUACAAUGAAAGAAACCUACAUGGCACCUGUAUGUUUACAAAGUUAGUUAAAA
RNAcentral lists this transfer RNA (69 nucleotides) under Gammarus shanxiensis. RNAcentral describes it as "tRNA-Val". Lineage: Eukaryota; Metazoa; Arthropoda; Malacostraca; Amphipoda; Gammaridae. The record is from RNAcentral.